RNAcentral lists this ribosomal RNA (373 nucleotides) under uncultured bacterium. Its description in RNAcentral is "bacterial SSU rRNA". It matches the Rfam family "Bacterial small subunit ribosomal RNA", at positions 523 to 898 of the family's 1533-position model. The record is from RNAcentral.
AUACGGAGGAUGCAAGCGUUAUCCGGAUUUAUUGGGUUUAAAGGGUGCGUAGGCGGGCUUGUAAGUCAGUGGUGAAAUGCUGUGGCUUAACCAUAGAAUUGCCAUUGAAACUGCAAGUCUUGAGUACAGUUGAGGUGGGCGGAAUGAGUAAUGUAGCGGUGAAAUGCAUAGAUAUUACUCAGAACACCGAUUGCGAAGGCAGCUUGCUAAACUGUAACUGACGCUGAUGCACGAAAGCGUGGGUAGCAAACAGGAUUAGAUACCCUGGUAGUCCACGCAGUAAACGAUGAGCACUGGUUGUUGGCAAUACACCGUCAGCGACUGAGCGAAAGCAUUAAGUGCUCCACCUGGGGAGUACGUCGGCAACGAUGAA